This is a non-coding RNA of Malus domestica (apple), 239 nucleotides long. The record is from RefSeq and is a predicted model, not a curated record. Lineage: Eukaryota; Viridiplantae; Streptophyta; Magnoliopsida; Rosales; Rosaceae.
GGGCAUAACACUAGUCAGUCAGCUCUGAUCAAAUUAUUGUUGGGGUAAAAUUUCCAGACCAAAAACCCUAAUCCCCUUUUCAGUAAAUAGAAGUAGUACUAGCUGAACAGAGUUCCUCUUUGGUUCUCCUCCUCCAUUACUGCAUUCGAAUUUUCGACAAUGUUCUCAACUGCAGCAAUCAAUGAUACGGAGUGCAAAUGAUCAGAGGAUCUGACGGCUUGGAUUUAAAAAGAAAGAAA